This 327-nucleotide ribosomal RNA is filed under the name uncultured eukaryote. RNAcentral describes it as "partial 18S ribosomal RNA". It matches the Rfam family "Eukaryotic small subunit ribosomal RNA", at positions 1470 to 1796 of the family's 1831-position model. The record is from RNAcentral.
CCCUUAGAUGUUCUGGGCCACACGCGCGUUACACUGAUGAAGCCAGCGAGUAUAUCGCCUUCACCGGAAGGUGCGGGUAAUCUUGUGAAACUUCAUCGUGCUGGGGAUAGACCAUUGCAAUUAUUGGUCUUGAACGAGGAAUUCCUAGUAAGCAUGAGUCAUCAACUCGUGCUGAUUACGUCCCUGCCCUUUGUACACACCGCCCGUCGCUACUACCGAUUGAAUGGUUUAGUGAGAUCUCGGGAUUGGAGACGUUGCGCCGCAAGGCACAUCGUCCUCGAGAACUUGAUCAAACUUGAUCAUUUAGAGGAAGUAAAAGCCGUAACA